RNAcentral lists this ribosomal RNA (1659 nucleotides) under Triticum aestivum (bread wheat). RNAcentral's name for it is "partial small subunit ribosomal RNA". Lineage: Eukaryota; Viridiplantae; Streptophyta; Magnoliopsida; Poales; Poaceae. The record is from RNAcentral.
AUGCCCAACGGCGAGCCCGCCCCCGGCGAUGGCCAGACCGAGGCCGCCGUUACUGUCGAUUCCGUGAAGGAUUCGGCAAAUCCCGAAAGCGCGGAGGCGGACGUGGAGGUGGAGGAACAGGGGGAGGACGACGCCAUGGUGGAUGCCGACGCCGACGCCGACGCCGUUGGUUCUACCAAGAAUUCGGCGGUGCUUGAAGAAGAGGGUGCCGAGGAAGUGGGGGAGGAGCACAAGGGCGACGCCCUAGUGGAUGCGGCUGCCACCACCGUUGCGUCCCUUGACGAUUCGGGGAAGGUUGAAGCCCAAGGUGCGGAGGAAGAGGUAGAGGAGCGUUUAGGCGAUACCCUGGUGGAUGUUUCUGUGGCUCAUCAGGUCAAGACUGAGGCCCAGGGAAAUGAGGGGGCGGAGACGGAGGGUGAGGCCCAGGGAAAUGAGGUGGUGGAGACCAAGGUCGAGGCCCAGGGAGAGGAGGGGGCUGAGUUGAAGGAUGACACCCAGGGAAAUGAAGCUGCCGAGAUGGAUGUUGAUAAAGCAGGAAAUGGAGAUGAGCACACCGAGGCCAGGGUGGAUGGUGACAAGGGCAGCUUGCUGAAAGAGGAAAUCGACAAUGGUGGAGAUGAUAAGAAGGAUGCCAAUGGUGAGGAUGAGCUAGUGUCGUCACUAGCUGGGGAGGGUGAAAACCAAAACUUGUCUGACAAGGUCUCAAACAACUCCUUCAUGUUUGAUUACACCCGUGGAGGCGAUGACUCUGGGACGGAGGAGGAGCAGGCUGAGUUUAUCAAGGAGCUUGACCGGUUCUACACGAUGAAAUUAAUGGAAUUCAAGCCCCCAAAAUUUUAUGGUGAAGGAUUGAAUUGCCUCAAGUUGUGGAGACAAGUAACUGGAUUGGGUGGCUAUGAUCAGGUGACAUCAUGCAAACUAUGGCGUCAAGUGGGAGAAUCAUUCAAACCUCCGAAGACAUGCACAACUGUUUCAUGGACCUUCCGCAACUUCUAUGAGAAGGCACUCCUUGAAUACGAGAAACACAAGAUUGAAACUGGCGAGUUCCAUGUGGCUGCAUCUACUUUAACCGAGCGAAUUGCUUCUGAUAGUCAGGUGGGUGGAAGCCUUGCAUCAGGAUCUGGAAGAGCUAGAAGAGAAUCUGCAACUCGCGCCAUGCAAGGCUGGCAUUCGCAGCGCUUGCUUGGCAAUGGUGAAAUUGCUGAUCCAGUAAUUAAGGAUAAAGCAGCUAUGCCUGUCUUGAAGAAGGAGAAAAAUCCAAAAAGCAGUGGUCUGGCCAAGAGGAAAAGGACACCAACCUUGGAAGAUGAAAAGGCAACACCAUACAAAUCUGAGAAGCUACAAAAUGACUCGACAGUUAUUGACAUGGGCCCUCCUGCUGAUUGGGUGAAGAUAAAUGUUCGGAGAACUAAAGAUUGCUAUGAAGUCUAUGCAUUGGUUCCUGGCCUUCUUCGUGAAGAGGUACAUGUUCAGUCAGAUCCUGCUGGCCGCUUGAUAGUUACGGGAGAGCCUGAGCAACUAGAUAAUCCUUGGGGUGUUACUCCAUUCAAGAAGGUCAUUAGUUUGCCCUCCCGCAUCGAUCCUCACCAAACCUCAGCAGUUGUCACUCUCCAUGGGCAAUUAUUUGUUCGUGCACCGUUUGAGCAGUCAAAAUCAUGA